AUUGAACGCUGGCGGCGUGCUUAACACAUGCAAGUCGUGCGGUAACAGGCGUAGCAAUACGUGCUGACGAGCGGCGAACGGGUGCGUAAUACAUGGGAAUCUGCCUUUUAGUGGGGAAUAACCCGGCGAAAGCCGGGCUAAUGCCGCAUAAGAUCUUCGGAUGAAAGCGGGGGAUCGUAAGACCUCGCGCUGAUAGAUGAACCCAUGCCGGAUUAGCUAGUUGGNGAGGUAACGGCUCACCAAGGCGACGAUCCGUAGCUGGUCUGAGAGGACGGCCAGCCACACUGGGACUGAGACACGGCCCAGACUCCUACGGGAGGCAGCAGUGGGGAAUAUUGGACAAUGGGGAAACCCUGAUCAGCGACGCCGCGUGUGUGAAGAGGGCCUGCGGGUUGUAAAGC
Molecule: ribosomal RNA, 401 nt
Filed under: uncultured bacterium
Lineage: Bacteria
Description: bacterial SSU rRNA
Rfam family: Bacterial small subunit ribosomal RNA
Source: RNAcentral